UGUUGGGUUAAGUCCCGCAACGAGCGCAACCCUCGUUCUAUGUUGCCAGCACGUAAUGGUGGGAACUCAUGGGAUACUGCCGGGGUCAACUCGGAGGAAGGUGGGGAUGACGUCAAAUCAUCAUGCCCCUUAUGUCUUGGGCUUCACGCAUGCUACAAUGGCCGGUACAAAGGGCUGCAAUACCGCGAGGUGGAGCGAAUCCCAAAAAGCCGGUCCCAGUUCGGAUUGAGGUCUGCAACUCGACCUCAUGAAGUCGGAGUCGCUAGUAAUCGCAGAUCAGCAACGCUGCGGUGAAUACGUUCCCGGGUCUUGUACACACCGCCCGUCAAGUCAUGAAAGUCGGUAACACCUGAAGCCGGUGGCCUAACCCUUGUGG
Molecule: ribosomal RNA, 376 nt
Filed under: uncultured Actinomycetes bacterium
Lineage: Bacteria; Bacillati; Actinomycetota; Actinomycetes
Description: bacterial SSU rRNA
Rfam family: Bacterial small subunit ribosomal RNA
Source: RNAcentral